GCUCAGUUGCUAGAGCAUGGCGCUUGCAACGCCAGGGUUGUGGGUUUGAUUCCCAC
This 56-nucleotide transfer RNA is filed under the name Salmo salar (Atlantic salmon). It matches the Rfam family "tRNA", at positions 10 to 63 of the family's 71-position model. Rfam says of the family: Transfer RNA (tRNA) molecules are approximately 80 nucleotides in length. Their secondary structure includes four short double-helical elements and three loops (D, anti-codon, and T loops). Lineage: Eukaryota; Metazoa; Chordata; Actinopteri; Salmoniformes; Salmonidae. The record is from Rfam by way of RNAcentral. RNAcentral also lists the same sequence under 1 other name.